RNAcentral lists this ribosomal RNA (253 nucleotides) under uncultured bacterium. RNAcentral describes it as "partial 16S ribosomal RNA". It matches the Rfam family "Bacterial small subunit ribosomal RNA", at positions 524 to 776 of the family's 1533-position model. The record is from RNAcentral.
UACGUAGGGAGCAAGCGUUGUCCGGAAUUACUGGGUGUAAAGGGAGCGUAGACGGCCAUGCAAGCCUGGAGUGAAAGCCCGGGGCCCAACCCCGGGAGUGCAUUGGAAACUGCCAGGCUGGAGUGUCGGAGGGGUAAGCGGAAUUCCUAGUGUAGCGGUGAAAUGCGUAGAUAUUAGGAGGAACACCAGUGGCGAAGGCGGCUUACUGGACGACUACUGACGCUGAGGCUCGAAAGCGUGGGGAGCAAACAGG